Molecule: transfer RNA, 70 nt
Filed under: Marmota monax (woodchuck)
Lineage: Eukaryota; Metazoa; Chordata; Mammalia; Rodentia; Sciuridae
Description: tRNA.Val
Source: RNAcentral
GGGCUGGGGCUCAGUGGCAGAGCGCUUGCCUCACAUGUGUGAGGGACUGGGUUCGAUCCUCAGCACCACA